AUUGAACGCUGGCGGCAGGCCUAACACAUGCAAGUCGAACGGUAGCACAGAGGAGCUUGCUCCUUGGGUGACGAGUGGCGGACGGGUGAGUAAUGUCUGGGAAACCGCCUGAUGGAGGGGGAUAACUACUGGAAACGGUAGCUAAUACCGCAUAACGUCGCAAGACCAAAGUGGGGGACCUUCGGGCCUCACACCAUCGGAUGUGCCCAGAUGGGAUUAGCUAGUAGGUGGGGUAAUGGCUCACCUAGGCGACGAUCCCUAGCUGGUCUGAGAGGAUGACCAGCCACACUGGAACUGAGACACGGUCCAGACUCCUACGGGAGGCAGCAGUGGGGAAUAUUGCACAAUGGGCGCAAGCCUGAUGCAGCCAUGCCGCGUGUAUGAAGAAGGCCUUCGGGUUGUAAAGUACUUUCAGCGAGGAGGAAGGCAUUGUGGUUAAUAACCACAGUGAUUGACGUUACUCGCAGAAGAAGCACCGGCUAACUCCGUGCCAGCCGCCGCAGUAA
This 506-nucleotide ribosomal RNA is filed under the name uncultured bacterium. RNAcentral's name for it is "partial 16S ribosomal RNA". It matches the Rfam family "Bacterial small subunit ribosomal RNA", at positions 30 to 523 of the family's 1533-position model. The record is from RNAcentral.